RNAcentral lists this ribosomal RNA (397 nucleotides) under uncultured bacterium. RNAcentral's name for it is "partial 16S ribosomal RNA". It matches the Rfam family "Bacterial small subunit ribosomal RNA", at positions 523 to 918 of the family's 1533-position model. The record is from RNAcentral.
AUACGUAGGGGGCGAGCGUUGUCCGGAAUGAUUGGGCGUAAAGGGCGCGUAGGCGGCCCGGUAAGUCUGGAGUGAAAGUCCUGUUUUUAAGAUGGGAAUUGCUUUGGAUACUGUCGGGCUUGAGUGCAGGAGAGGUAAGUGGAAUUCCCAGUGUAGCGGUGAAAUGCGUAGAGAUUGGGAGGAACACCAGUGGCGAAGGCGACUUACUGGACUGUAACUGACGCUGAGGCGCGAAAGUGUGGGGAGCAAACAGGAUUAGAUACCCUGGUAGUCCACACUGUAAACGAUGAAUGCUAGGUGUAGGGGGUAGCGACCCCUUCUGUGCCGCAGUCAACACAAUAAGCAUUCCGCCUGGGGAGUACGGCCGCAAGGUUGAAACUCAAAGGAAUUGACGGGG